GGUGGCUCAGUGGUAGAGCGCUUGCCUUGCGUGCAUGAGACCUUGGGUUUGAUUCCUCAGUACCA
This 65-nucleotide transfer RNA is filed under the name Dipodomys ordii (Ord's kangaroo rat). It matches the Rfam family "tRNA". Rfam says of the family: Transfer RNA (tRNA) molecules are approximately 80 nucleotides in length. Their secondary structure includes four short double-helical elements and three loops (D, anti-codon, and T loops). The record is from Rfam by way of RNAcentral. Lineage: Eukaryota; Metazoa; Chordata; Mammalia; Rodentia; Heteromyidae.